AACGAACGCUGGCGGCAUGCCUAACACAUGCAAGUCGAACGAGACCUUCGGGUCUAGUGGCGCACGGGUGCGUAACGCGUGGGAACCUGCCCUUAGGUUCGGAAUAACUCCCCGACAGGGGUGCUAAUACCGGAUAAUGUCUUCGGACCACAGAUUUAUCGCCUUUGGAUGGGCCCGCGUUGGAUUAGCUAGUUGGUAGGGUAAAAGCCUACCAAGGCGACGAUCCAUAGCUGGUCUGAGAGGAUGGUCAGCCACACUGGGACGGAGACACGGCCCAGACUACUACGGGAGGCAGCAGUGGGGAAUACUGGACAAUGGGCGAAAGGCUGAUCCAGCAAUGCCGCGUGAGUGAUGAAGGCCUGAGGGUUGUAAAGCUCUUUUACCCGGGAUGAUAAUGACAGUACCGGGAGAAUAAGCUCCGGCUAACUCCGUG
This 433-nucleotide ribosomal RNA is filed under the name uncultured bacterium. Its description in RNAcentral is "partial 16S ribosomal RNA". It matches the Rfam family "Bacterial small subunit ribosomal RNA", at positions 29 to 507 of the family's 1533-position model. The record is from RNAcentral.